RNAcentral lists this unclassified non-coding RNA (382 nucleotides) under Hevea brasiliensis (rubber tree). The record is from RNAcentral. Lineage: Eukaryota; Viridiplantae; Streptophyta; Magnoliopsida; Malpighiales; Euphorbiaceae.
CUGGAGCCAUUGCUUGUGAGCCAUAAUGACCUUCUACAGUGUAAUUUUCAGAUGAAGUGGCAGCAGUAUAAACUGGACCUUUCUGUUUGCCAUUCUCCUGAAUAGAAAGCCAAAUAGCCUCCAUAACCAUAAUGUCUUCAAGAUCUAGAUCAAAUUCAUCAUCCCUGUUUGGUCUAUAAUGUGGAGAGUGUCUGAUUGAGUAUUGAGAAGGAACAAUUUCCUCAGUUUCCACAGGAGACCUAAAUGAUUGAACAGCUGCAGAGCCAUAUUCAACCUCCCCUGGUACAACACUAGUACUUGAAGAACUUAAUUCUAGUCUUUUAUGCAUUCUCUCUUCUUCAUCUUGAAGUUCUUGCUGCCGCAUCCUAAUUUUUGCUUCUAU